UACUGGGUAUUUUUAGUGGCGAAAGGGUGCGUAACACGUGGGUAAUCUACCGUAAAGUUCGGAAUAACUUCGAGAAAUCAAAGCUAAUACCGAAUGUGAUCUGACAGGGACAUCCCUGUUCCAUUAAAGCUAGGGACCUUCGGGCCUGGCGCUUUAUGAUGAGCCCGCGCCCUAUCAGCUUGUUGGUGAGGUAAAAGCUCACCAAGGCUAAGACGGGUAGCCGGUCUGAGAGGACGAUCGGCCACACUGGAACUGAGACACGGUCCAGACACCUACGGGUGGCAGCAGUCGAGAAUCAUUCACAAUGGGGGAAACCCUGAUGGUGCGACGCCGCGUGGGGGAUGAAGGUCUUCGGAUUGUAAACCCCUGUCAUUUGUGAACAAACCUUUUGGUUUAAUAGAUCAAAAGCUGAUAGUAGCAAAAGAGGAAGGGACGGCUAACUCCGUGCCAGCAGCCGCGGUAAUACGGAGGUCCCAAGCGUUGUUCGGAUUUACUGGGCGUAAAGGGUGCGUAGGUGGCCAGGAAAGUUUGAUGUGAAAGCUCCGAGCUCAACUCGGAAAAUGCAUUGAAUACUACUUGGCUUGAGGAUCGGAGGGGAGACUGGAAUUCUCGGUGUAGCAGUGAAAUGCGUAGAUAUCGAGAGGAACACCAGUGGCGAAGGCGAGUCUCUGGACGAUUCCUGACACUGAGGCACGAAAGCUAGGGGAGCAAACAGGAUUAGAUACCCUGGUAGUCCUAGCCGUAAACGGUGCACACUUGCUGUAGGAGGAUUCGACCCCUUCUGUGGCGGAGCAAACGCG
RNAcentral lists this ribosomal RNA (800 nucleotides) under Verrucomicrobia bacterium SCGC AAA164-I18. RNAcentral describes it as "bacterial SSU rRNA". It matches the Rfam family "Bacterial small subunit ribosomal RNA", at positions 80 to 859 of the family's 1533-position model. The record is from RNAcentral. Lineage: Bacteria; Pseudomonadati; Verrucomicrobiota.